UGAGUAGAGUGGCGCACGGGUGAGUAACACGUAGAUAAUCUACCUUCAAGCCCGGGAUAACUAUUCGAAAGGAUAGCUAAUACCGGAUGAAGUGGUUUGACCCAAGUUGAAUCAUGAAAGAUUGCCUCUUCUUGAAAGCAAUUGUUUGGAGAUGAGUUUGCGGACCAUUAGUUUGUUGGUGGGGUAAAGGCCUACCAAGACUACGAUGGUUAGCUGGUCUGAGAGGAUGAUCAGCCACACUGGAACUGGUACACGGUCCAGACUCC
This 266-nucleotide ribosomal RNA is filed under the name uncultured bacterium. RNAcentral describes it as "partial 16S ribosomal RNA". It matches the Rfam family "Bacterial small subunit ribosomal RNA", at positions 87 to 339 of the family's 1533-position model. The record is from RNAcentral.